GAUGAACGCUAGCGGCAGGCCUAACGCAUGCAAGUCGAGGGGUAACAUAGAAAAGCUUGCUUUUCUGAUGACGACCGGCGCACGGGUGCGUAACGCGUAUACAACCUACCUUUUAGCGGGGAAUAGCCCAGGGAAACUUGGAUUAAUGCCUCAUAGUAUAUAAGCUUCUCCUGAAGUUUAUAUUAAACAUUUAUGGCUAUUAGAUGGAUAUGCGUCCUAUUAGUUAGUUGGUAAGGUAACGGCUUACCAAGGCAGCGAUAGGUAGGGGUCCUGAGAGGGAGAUCCCCACACUGGUACUGAGACACGGACCAGACUCCUACGGGAGGCAGCAGUGAGGAAUAUUGGACAAUGGGCGAGAGCCUGAUCCGGCCAUGCCGCGUGCAGGAAGACUGCCCUAUGGGUUGUAAACUGCUUUUACAGAGGAAGAACCACCCCCACGUGUGGGGGUUUGACGGUACUCUGCGAAUAAGGAUCGGCUAACUCCGUG
This 487-nucleotide ribosomal RNA is filed under the name uncultured bacterium. RNAcentral's name for it is "bacterial SSU rRNA". It matches the Rfam family "Bacterial small subunit ribosomal RNA", at positions 28 to 507 of the family's 1533-position model. The record is from RNAcentral.